UGGGCGCCGUCACAGUCCCCAGACGCCCUGGACUCCUGCAGUCUACGAAGACGCGCGGCGGACGGCGUGGUUCCGAGAGAGGGCGCCAAAGGCGACGUGCCGGCGGCCAGCUCCAGGCCGAGCCCCGAGCGCCUGCAGGAACAGGCCCCUUCACCCGGCGCGGGACGCAGAGCUGCGAGAGAAUCUUGUUCAGCGCGGACUCAACGCCAGGGCGCCGCCUAGAGGUUGGUCUCUGUCUCGGCCUCACCCGCCGGGAGACCACAGAGCUGCUUCCCCAGCCGCCCGCCGCCGGAAAUUGGAAAAAAAAAAAAAAAAAUCCAGCUGGGGUCUAGGAACUCGGCUUCUGGCACCUCUGAAUUCUCCGAGACUGUCUCCUCCCUCCCCGCCCGUAAUGAACCCUGUGAAGGGAGACAGGCCAGGAAGUCCCAGAAAUAUUUAUUCUUGUGACUCUCACAAAAUGGAAAAGGGUCUCAAUUUUUGUUUCUUUAAGGAUCUUGUGUUCUGCGUCUGUGUCUACACUGCCUCCUCUCACCAACCAAAUUGUCUAGCCCCACUCCAGUUACGCUAGAACUCUGCUUUAUCUUCAAGGAAGAAAGGGAGUGGGGAGAAGUUACCUCUAAACCCUCCAGCAUGGCCAUCAAUUUUCUGAAUAAUUUGGAGGUCAACAUGCUUUUGGAAAAGUGUUUGGAAAACGUUUGGGGGUGAAAAGAAAUGUUGCCUAACUGGCCUUUACUCACGGAAUGACCAUCAUCUCAGCUAGUUAGUGUAUGAGCGGCACCAGCACCCCGGCCAUGGGUGUCUGUGCUGAGCCUCUGAAAGUUGACUUAUCCUUUGGGGAGCCCUCGGAAAGACACAGCUGGUAUCUAUGGGAAUGGCUUUGGGGUGUCCUUUGGCACCAUACAGAUAAUUUUGUUUUUUUAAUUGGAAUCCAUGGCCUGGGUUCUUGGGAUGGGGGUGGGGGAAGCCACAAAGCCCCUGGAAAUGUAUGCAAAACAUAUGGGUGUGCAGGUGCAUCAUCCUAAGGCUAUGGCCU
RNAcentral lists this long non-coding RNA (1033 nucleotides) under Pan troglodytes (chimpanzee). RNAcentral's name for it is "long non-coding RNA NONPTRT006668". Lineage: Eukaryota; Metazoa; Chordata; Mammalia; Primates; Hominidae. The record is from RNAcentral.